UCUCUCUCUCUCUCUCUCUCUUCCUCUCUACCUUUCUCUCUACCUCUCUCUCUACUUCUCUAUCUUUCUCUCACCGAUGUAAGUCCCGCCAACGAAAUAGGUCCAUAACGCCUAAUGAUUCUAUAACCUUGUUUAUGCCUGGUAAAAGAGACGACCCUCAGCGACAAACUGGAAAACUGACCAGGAACGACGGACUCAAUCCGCGUCUAUUUCACGCGAUAAGCCACCGUCACCAAAGCGUCAGAGCGUCCAUUGGCUUGUAAUAAAGUCGGUAUCGAAAAUAACGUGGGAAUUCGGCGAAAUUGUGACAGGAUUUUCGUGAUCGCCGAGGGCGGUCGAUCUAUUUAGGCGACUAUACCAAGCGUAACCGUAUACCAAGCGAUGAUAAGCGCAAAUACACGAGAGUGCGAGAUCGAGAUAGCGCUAACGGUAUAUUUACGGCGAGUAAUCGGAAGAGGAUGAAAUUGCGACGGAGCGACUCGCAAACGCGAUGAUAUUAAUUUUCCUCGGUAAUAUCGCGCCUGCACAUACAAUACACAUAUUUUAUUUGAAAAUAUUUACGCUUUCGCAAUUUCUCAAAAAAAACAAACGAAUUGUGACAUUUUACUAGAAUUAACUAGAAUAAAUCUAGAUAGAUUUUCGCGAAUGACCGUUUGUUCGUUUUUUUACAUAGUUCACGGGAAGCGUGUGUCGAAAAAUUCUGCUGAGCGGAGUAUUUCCUUCCCGAGUCUUCAGCCGGUCGAAAGCCCGUUUCCACCGUAUCGUCCCUCUUCCCGGGGGUGGGCGAACACGUCGACCACGGGGCAGAGGGGUAGCCAGUAAAUAGAAGAGAGGAUGAGGGAGAAAGAGAGAAAGAGAGAGAAAGAGAAGAGAUAGGGGCGGCGGUGGAAGGGGUGCACCGACGGUUUCUGGGGGUGGAGGCGCAGGAGGCAACGUGGUGUAUUGAUCGAGUGGCUCUCUCGCGUCGAGACCAACGCCGCCACUUUCGGGCCACCCGGUAUACGCGUGCGCAUGUGCGUGUAUGUGUAUGCACGAGUCGAUGCCUAUGUAGCCACGGAUCGACACGCAUCGUAUACAGAGUGCUUCACGUAGAAUGAUCCAGUCCAGCAUGUCUUGAAGAAUAUUGAAGAUGAAAGAAACAAAAGAAAGGAAACUUAAUUAAACUCGUUAAACUCAUCAAAAUUAAAGUAACCAUUUUAAAUAAUUUUAAAAAAUUUGGAGUAAAAAAAUCUAAAUAAAAAACUUUCGUUUUAGAUCCUAGAAUGUCGCGACAUUAAUGUCUCUCCCUGAUAAAUCGCUUAGAAAUUUUUGUCCCUUAGCAUCCAAACACGGUUGCCGAAUUCCUGCUGGUGAGAAAGAUCCUAGUACAGAAUUAAUAAAAAAUUCAUAACUGAAGGCGGCAUAUCCCGCGUGCAGCAUCCUGUAUUCAGGCGUAUCAGCACGUGAUGGACCAGACUGUACCUACGUGCGCGCUCCGCGGGAGGAGAACGAGAGGCAAUGGUCAGAAAAUAACUUGGUGCGUUUCCGCGUACGGACGUGCCUGUCUGUGUACGCGAGCGUGUCUGUAGACGACGCGUACAGAUGUGGGAUGCUGAAAACACCAUGAUCUACGGCGUGUGCAUCCCCGCGAAUAACGCCGAGGCACUUGGCCUGGAAAAUCUCCGGAGUGCAUUCGCGCGGAUGCACCAGCGGCAGCCGCGUACCGUGUCCAUGCGCGCAAACGCAUAAAUGUCAAUGGACGGUGCACGGAGGGGAAGAGGACGUUAUUGCUCUUUCUUCGUCGUUGUCGUCGUCGUCGUCGCCGCCACUGACGUCGUCAAGCAACUUUCGCUACAACGUGCGUGUCGCGGAAACGUCGUCGUCGUCGUCGUCGUCGGCGACGGCGGCGGCGGCAGCGGCGGCGAUGGCAGAGCGAAAAUAUCGAUGUAAUUCUGAAUGGGGCCUGCUUCUCCGGGGACCCGUGAACAGAUUGAAAAAAAACGCGCUCUCAUACAGACUCUAAUGGACCCAUAGACAUCAGACAUGGCUCAUAGAGGAGCCAGAGAGGGCAAUCCGUCCCUGAGGAAGGGUGGAUGGUCGCCACUGUCGGCUCAGCUUCAUCCCCACCGAACCCUCGUCGAGGGGGAAGGCAAGGCGCUCAAUAUCAAAUCGUGGAAAAACCGUCGGUGGAAAUAUCGAGGAUGAAGCUGAAAACGCAUUAUUGUGACUCGGUCGACCAGCUCGUCUUUUUUCAGCUUUAAUCUUGAUAGAUUUUUAUCUUUUAUUUUUUUCCAAGCUUUGACGUACUUUUCCUCGGACAUUGUACGCUUCAGAGAGCGAGAAAGAACAAUAAAUGUUCGUUAAUUAAAUGUUACCAAUAGUGAGGAGUACAUUAAAAAAAAAAACGAUUAAAUUACAGAGUUAUUGGGAUUGCAAAGAGCAUUACUUUUGCUUGUCAAUUUAAUCUGUGAAAUUACGCAUUCUAGCUUCUUGUAGGGACUGUGUCCCAAGACAAAAUUCUGUAAUUCAUGACCUGGAAAUAAUAAAAAUCACAAAAAUUAUUCAGCAACAAGA
RNAcentral lists this long non-coding RNA (2553 nucleotides) under Monomorium pharaonis (pharaoh ant). RNAcentral describes it as "uncharacterized LOC105838248". Lineage: Eukaryota; Metazoa; Arthropoda; Insecta; Hymenoptera; Formicidae. The record is from RNAcentral.